GAUGAAGAGGAGGGGCGGACAGGCCUUGGCUGGAGGAGAGGGACAAACCCUACGUGUGCGACAUCUGCGGGAAGCGCUACAAGAACCGCCCGGGGCUGAGCUACCACUACAGCCACACCCACCUGGCCGAGGAGGAGGCCGAGGAGCCGGGGGGGGGCGCGAGGCCCCCCCGCAGGAACCACCACCGGCAGUUUUACAAAGAG
Camarhynchus parvulus is the source of this 203-nucleotide long non-coding RNA. RefSeq lists it as uncharacterized. The transcript is spliced from 3 exons. Lineage: Eukaryota; Metazoa; Chordata; Aves; Passeriformes; Thraupidae. The record is from RefSeq and is a predicted model, not a curated record.